CGUAGGGCGCAAGCGUUGUCCGGAAUUAUUGGGCGUAAAGAGCUCGUAGGUGGUUUGUCGCGUCUGUCGUGAAAGCCCAUGGCUUAACUGUGGGUCUGCGGUGGAUACGGGCAGGCUAGAGGCAGGUAGGGGAGAACGGAAUUCCCGGUGUAGCGGUGAAAUGCGCAGAUAUCGGGAGGAACACCGGUGGCGAAGGCGGUUCUCUGGGCCUGUACUGACGCUGAGGAGCGAAAGCGUGGGGAGCGAACAGGAUUAGAUACCCUGGUAGUCCACGCCGUAAACGUUGGGCGCUAGGUGUGGGGUUCUUCCACGGAUUCCGCGCCGUAGCUAACGCAUUAAGCGCCCCGCCUGGGGAGUACGGCCGCAAGGCUA
Molecule: ribosomal RNA, 372 nt
Filed under: uncultured organism
Description: bacterial SSU rRNA
Rfam family: Bacterial small subunit ribosomal RNA
Source: RNAcentral